Lactuca sativa (garden lettuce) is the source of this 107-nucleotide small nucleolar RNA. Lineage: Eukaryota; Viridiplantae; Streptophyta; Magnoliopsida; Asterales; Asteraceae. The record is from RefSeq and is a predicted model, not a curated record.
AGGUCAUUUUAUGGACAGUUUCUCAGCAACCCUUUGUACCUCUCCCAUGCUUCAUAUAGUCACUCUCCUCCUUGUUGUUCGGAUUUUGUGAUUGCUUUCUUUAAUUU